Molecule: ribosomal RNA, 639 nt
Filed under: uncultured Actinomycetes bacterium
Lineage: Bacteria; Bacillati; Actinomycetota; Actinomycetes
Description: bacterial SSU rRNA
Rfam family: Bacterial small subunit ribosomal RNA
Source: RNAcentral
CGCGGCCUAUCAGCUUGUUGGCGGGGUAAUGGCCCACCAAGGCGCCGACGGGUAGCUGGUCUGAGAGGAUGAUCAGCCACACUGGGACUGAGACACGGCCCAGACUCCUACGGGAGGCAGCAGUGGGGAAUCUUGCGCAAUGGGCGAAAGCCUGACGCAGCAACGCCGCGUGGGGGAUGAAGGCCCUCGGGUUGUAAACCCCUUUCAGCAGGAACGAAUCUGACGGUACCUGCAGAAGAAGGCCCGGCCAACUACGUGCCAGCAGCCGCGGUAAUACGUAGGGGCCAAGCGUUGUCCGGAUUUAUUGGGCGUAAAGAGCUCGUAGGCGGUUGGGUAAGUCGGGUGUGAAAACUCCAGGCUCAACUUGGAGAGGCCACCCGAUACUGCUCUGACUCGAGUUCGGUAGGGGAGUGGGGAAUUCCUGGUGUAGCGGUGAAAUGCGCAGAUAUCAGGAGGAACACCGGUGGCGAAGGCGCCACUCUGGGCCGAAACUGACGCUGAGGAGCGAAAGCGUGGGUAGCAAACAGGAUUAGAUACCCUGGUAGUCCACGCCGUAAACGUUGGGCACUAGGUGUGGGCCCUAACCAACGGGGUCCGUGCCGUAGCUAACGCAUUAAGUGCCCCGCCUGGGGAGUACGG